RNAcentral lists this unclassified non-coding RNA (198 nucleotides) under uncultured Thelephoraceae. RNAcentral describes it as "sequence contains ITS1". Lineage: Eukaryota; Fungi; Basidiomycota; Agaricomycetes; Thelephorales; Thelephoraceae. The record is from RNAcentral.
CUGAAUUGUCAACAAGAGUUGUUGCUGGUCCUCAAACAGGGGACAUGUGCACACUCUGUUCACACAUCCACUCACACCUGUGCACCCUCUGUAGUCCUACAUCGGGGGGACCUGUCCUCCUGCUGUGGUUCUGCGUUUUUACAUAUACACUGUAACAAAGUCUUAUGGGAUGUAUGCCGCGUUUAACGCAAUACAAUA